UUAAAUUAAAACGGUGACACAAAAUCGGAGGCUCCGACUGUUUACUAAAAACACAGAUCACUGCAAUGAUUAAUAUCAUAGUAUAGUGGUUGAAAUUUGCCCGAUGCCAUUAAUAUAAGAGAGGUAAUGGGAAACUGUUACUAAUUGAAAAUCUGGUUAAUAGCGGUCUUAACUAUGAGGAUCCUAAGGUAGCAAAAUAAAUUGGCCAUUAAAUGUGGUCCGGUAUCAAUAAUGUAACGAUAGCCUCACUGUCUCUACAACUUGCUCAGUGAAAUUGAAUUAUCCGUGCAGAUGCGGAUUACCUCCAGGUGGACGGGAAGAC
RNAcentral lists this ribosomal RNA (322 nucleotides) under Hygrocybe cantharellus. RNAcentral's name for it is "LSU rRNA". It matches the Rfam family "Bacterial large subunit ribosomal RNA", at positions 1763 to 2089 of the family's 2925-position model. The record is from RNAcentral. Lineage: Eukaryota; Fungi; Basidiomycota; Agaricomycetes; Agaricales; Hygrophoraceae.